UUUCUCUGAAAAUUAUGCAGAUUCCCCAUGGUGCUUGGAUGAGCUUGUAAAGAUAUUUCAAUGCAUGAAAAUAUCAAGACAAAUAGUCCUACCAGUUUUUUAUCGUGUAGAUCCAACUGAUGUUCAAGAGCUGAGAGGGAAUUUUGGAGAGGCAUUUUGUAAGCAUAAAAAAGAAGUAAAAAUUUUGGAAGGAUGGCGCCAUGCCUUGAUAGAAAUAAGCAACUUAGCAGGAUGGGACUCACGCAAUUUCAGGUCCGAGUCUGAACUAGUUGAGGAAAUAGUAAAUGUUGUUUUGGAGAAAUUAAAUCACAUCUUUAAAUGUGAUUAUAAGAAUGAUGAUUUAGUUGGAAUUGAAUCGAGUGUGAGGAAAAUGGAAUCAUUAUUAUUUUCUGGACCAAUCAAUGAUAGACGAGCUGUAGGAAUUUGGGGGAUGGGAGGUAUUGGAAAGACAACUCUUGCUGAAGAAGUAUUUCAUCGAAUCAAGGAAAAAUUUGAUGGUCACUACUUUGUUGCCAAUGUUAGGGAAGAAAUAAUGAAGCAAACACCAAAUGCUUUACGGGACAAAAUCUUUUGUCAAUUGUUAGGAGAGAAAGAUGGAUAUAUAGACACUCCUCGUUUAGGGGCUUUCACUAUUAGAAGACUUCAAAGUAAAAAAGUAAUCCUUGUCUUUGAUGAUGUGGUUAAUCCAAACCAUUUAAAGCUUUUAGGUGGAGUAUGUGAUUUGUACAGUAAGGGAAGUAGAAUAAUUAUAACCAGUAGAGAUAGGCAAACACUUAAAAAUGUUUGUCUUGAGGAGCAUAUAUACGAGGUUAAAGAAUUAAUUGAUCGUGAAGCUCUCCGUCUCUUCAGCUUAUAUGCCUUUAAACAAGAUUAUCCCAAAGAAGGAUAUAAGAAGCUAUCAGAGAUGGCAAUAAGAUAUGCUCAAGGCAAUCCGUUGGCUCUUAGAGUUUUAGGCUCUAAUAUGUAUGAUAAGGGCAUAGAAGAAUGGGGAAGUGAGUUGAAAAAACUGAAAGAAAUUCCAGAUUUCCAAAUUCAAAAAGUUCUGAGAAUAAGUUAUGAUGAACUAGAUCGUCAUGACAAAAAUGUAUUCCUUGAUAUUGCAUUUUUCUUUAAGGGGGAGCCUAAAGGUCGUGUUGAGAGACUACUAGAUGCUUGUGGUUUCUUUGCAACAAGUGCACUAAGUCGUCUAAUUGAUAAAUCUCUCAUAACCAUUUCAUCAUCCAAAGUGGUUGGUAUGCAUGACUCGUUGCAACAAAUGGGCAAGGAUAUUACUUGCGAGGAAAAACAGAUUGGACAACGUAGCAGACUGUGGCAUCCUAAGGAUAUAUAUUACCUGUUGACAAGAGCUGAGGGGACUGGAGCAAAUAAAGGGAUAUCGCUAGACAUGUCCAAAAUUAGAGAGGUGGAACUAAGUCCUACAGUCUUUGAGAGAACGUAUAAUCUCAAAUUUCUCAAGUUCUACUCUUCAAUACCUCAUCAAAACAGAGUAAACCUCUCAGAAGGACUCAAAUUUCUUCCAUAUGAGCUAAGGUUACUGCAGUGGUAUCGAUACCCUUUGAAAUCUGUGCCAUUGAGUUCAUGUGCUGAGAAUCUUGUUGAUCUUCGCUUGACUAAUAGCAAAAUUAGGGAACUUUGGAAUGGAGUUCAGGCAGUCUUCUAUACUUCUUCAUAUACUUUCAAAGUGUUCAAUUUGGUCCAUCUCCCUAAUAUGCGUAUCUUCACAUUUUCAUUACAGCAUCUUGGAAAUUUGAAAUAUGUUAACCUCAGCUUCUCUAAGGAUCUAAUCAGAAUUCCAGACUUGUCUGGAUGCCCAAAUCUUGAGGUUCUUGAUUUGCAUACAUGUACAAGUUUGGUUGAAAUUCCCCCAUCUAUAAAAUGUUUGAGCAAACUUACUUCACUAUUUCUAACAAGUUGUGCAAGUCUUUGCGAUUUACCGAGCUUGCUUCAUUUGAAAAGUCUUGAGGUUCUUUUCGUACAGGAUUGCCCAAAAAUCAUAGAGUUUCCAGUGGUUCCAUGUGAUAUAAGGAGUUUAUAUAUGGGUAGAAAUACAAUAGAGCAAGUGCCCUCUUCAAUUGGGGGUCUCUCUCAUCUUUUUUUGUUGGAUUUGGGUUGGUCGACGGGGCUUGAAAGUCUUCCAGACAGCAUUUGCAAUCUCAAAUCUCUCAGAGAAUUUCCUAUCGGUCUCUGUGGGAACCUAAAGGAACUUCCGGAGAACUUGGGGAAUUUAGAAUCUCUAGAGAAGCUUUUUGUAAAUGACUCUGCUAUAAAAAAAUUACCAGACAACAUUUGCAAUCUGAAAAGGCUGGCGGAAUUAUCAGUUGAGAAAUGUGUGAAUCUCCUUGCUCUUCCAGCAAACCUGGGGAAUUUAGAGUCUCUAGAGAGACUUAUUGCAGAUGGUACUGGUAUAAAAGAAUUACCAGAGAGCAUUUGCAAUCUGAAAAAUCUUACAGAAUUAUCGGUUAAUGAAUGUGUAUAUCUGCAGAGUCUGCCAGAGAACUUUGGUAAUUUAGAAUCUCUAGACAAGUUUGGUGCACGUA
RNAcentral lists this unclassified non-coding RNA (2537 nucleotides) under Hevea brasiliensis (rubber tree). Lineage: Eukaryota; Viridiplantae; Streptophyta; Magnoliopsida; Malpighiales; Euphorbiaceae. The record is from RNAcentral.